Molecule: ribosomal RNA, 253 nt
Filed under: uncultured bacterium
Lineage: Bacteria
Description: partial 16S ribosomal RNA
Rfam family: Bacterial small subunit ribosomal RNA
Source: RNAcentral
CACGUAGGGCGCAAGCGUUGUCCGGAAUUAUUGGGCGUAAAGAGCUCGUAGGCGGUCUGUUGCGUCCGCUGUGAAAACUCGGGGCUUAACCCCGAGCCUGCAGUGGAUACGGGCAGACUAGAGGUAGGUAGGGGAGAAUGGAAUUCCCGGUGUAGCGGUGAAAUGCGCAGAUAUCGGGAGGAACACCAGUGGCGAAGGCGGCUCGCUGGGCCGGACCUGACGCUGAGACGCGAAGGCGUGGGGAGCGAACGGG